This 120-nucleotide ribosomal RNA is filed under the name Caenorhabditis japonica. RNAcentral describes it as "5.8S ribosomal RNA". It matches the Rfam family "5.8S ribosomal RNA", at positions 31 to 154 of the family's 154-position model. Rfam says of the family: 5.8S ribosomal RNA (5.8S rRNA) is a component of the large subunit of the eukaryotic ribosome. It is transcribed by RNA polymerase I as part of the 45S precursor that also contains 18S and 28S rRNA. Lineage: Eukaryota; Metazoa; Nematoda; Chromadorea; Rhabditida; Rhabditidae. The record is from Rfam by way of RNAcentral.
UAUCGAUGAAGAACGCAGCUUGCUGUGUUACUUACCACGAAUUGCAGACGCUUAGAGUGGUAAACUUUCGAACGCAUAGCACCGACUGGGUCUCCAGUCGGUACGUCUGGUUCAGGGUUG